UUUUUUUAUUUUAUUUUCUCAUGUAUUUAUUUUCCUUCAAUACAUAAUAUUUGUUACUCAUGUCACUCUUUGCAUACUAUGAUUUAAAGCAAUGCUACUAGCUUCAUCGCAGCUCUGUUACCCACUCACAGCAUUGUUUCUCACUUCCUACUUUGAAUGAAACGAACACAUGUGAAAAAGAUCACCAGUGCUGUGCUUCAUAAAAGACAUUCAUGGCAGCCACCCCAGCUUGCUUCAAUGCUUAACAUUGGUCCUCGAGUGGAAAGGAAGAGCCGUUCAUCUCAUAUUCACUUUUGGCACUUCAACGGAUAAGUCUAGGGCAAUUGUAGAACACAUUUGAAGUUCGAAAAUAAUUCUGAGUUAAAACAUGUGGAAGAGACAAAAUUGUCAGAUUAUAUCAAAAAGUUAAACACUGCGCUUGUGUGCAUUCACCCGGCAUUCAGAAGUGCGAGAUUUCUGCUGGCUCCAACCGCAAAAAGCCUGCAAACUAUUUUGUUCUCAAGUUACUAAUCUAAUCCAUACAACCCAGUCAACUAAUCCUACUUUGAUUCCUACACAUAAAGAAUUGAUUCUGCUAGACGUUGCUACAAGAGCAUGUGCAACUGCCUCUCAAAAUCCGCUGAACUCAGUAUCUGGGUGGGGGCUUGUCUCCAGCCAAGUUCACUCUCAAUUCCCUACCGUCAUAAUCGGCGCCGUCGAGGCUCUCAAUGGCAGCGUUAACCUCAGUCUCACUGGACAAAGUCACGAACCCAAAUCCACGUGACCUACCAGAGUCCCUUUCAGUCGCAAUUCUAGCUUCCAGAACUCUUCCGUAAUCCGAAAAUAGAGUCUCAAGAGCCUCCUCGUCGCACCUCCAGGACAGGUUGCCAACGAACAGCUUGUUAGGACCAUCCCUCUGUCUGCGGUCCCUGCUCCCGGACCUGUCUGAUCUGGGUGAUGAUGGUUCAUACUCUCUGGUAGAAAUCCAAGAGUCAAUUAAUAAAAAGCAAACAUAAUUGCAAGUUCAAGAGUAACAAAAAGAAUCAUGUAAUAAGCGGUACACAUGAGAAGCAGCUACAAUACAGAAAAUCAACAUGAUAGAGCGAAGUAAUGCAUUAUCCAGCCAGUCACCACUGUAGUAUCCCUAAUUGAAUGGAAUUCGUCCAAGACGGUUCGGGUAUUCACAAACUUCACUAACCAUAUAAACAUGAACGAAUAAGACGACGAACAUAGCAAACUUUAUUGUCUAGUACAUUUCCUUGCAUGCAUCCUCGCAAAUACAAUCUUCGUAGAUUAAGAGACCAACAAAUCACACACUUAAUAAGUACAACAAUGUCCUAAAAAAGUCAACAAAGCAAACCUCAGUAAGAUUCAAAGACUUAUGGAUAUUGAUAUAAAUUUAUUCUCAAUACCUGGUUGGGGGCUUCUCUCCAGCCAAGUUCACUCUCAACCGCCUCCCAUCGAGUUCCGCGCCGUCCAGGUUCUCAAUAGCAGCAUUAGCCGCAGCCGCACUUUCCAUCGUCACGAAACCGAACCCACGGGACCUUCCAGAAUCCCUGUCAAACACAACCUUGGCAUCCACCACAGUUCCGUAUUCUGAGAAAAACGAGUACAAAGCAGCUUCAUCACAUCCCCAUGAAAGGUUGCCAACAAACAACUUAUUAGCAUCAUCCCUGGGCCUUUCCGACCGCUCCACGCGAGGCUUGUCCUUCUGCGACUGGGGGUAGUUCACCUUCAAGGGUCUCCCCCCCAUGUCCGUUCCGUCAAGCGCGUUGAUCACAGCCUGGGCAU
This 1770-nucleotide long non-coding RNA is filed under the name Physcomitrium patens. RNAcentral describes it as "long non-coding RNA (PPAT_LNC005381)". The record is from RNAcentral. Lineage: Eukaryota; Viridiplantae; Streptophyta; Bryopsida; Funariales; Funariaceae.